RNAcentral lists this ribosomal RNA (1445 nucleotides) under Klebsiella pneumoniae subsp. rhinoscleromatis. Its description in RNAcentral is "bacterial SSU rRNA". It matches the Rfam family "Bacterial small subunit ribosomal RNA". The record is from RNAcentral. Lineage: Bacteria; Pseudomonadati; Pseudomonadota; Gammaproteobacteria; Enterobacterales; Enterobacteriaceae.
CCUUAUGGCGGCAGGCCUACACAUGCAGUCGAGCGGUAGCACAGAGAGCUUGCUCUCGGGUGACGAGCGGCGGACGGGUGAGUAAUGUCUGGGAAACUGCCUGAUGGAGGGGGAUAACUACUGGAAACGGUAGCUAAUACCGCAUAACGUCGCAAGACCAAAGUGGGGGACCUUCGGGCCUCAUGCCAUCAGAUGUGCCCAGAUGGGAUUAGCUGGUAGGUGGGGUAACGGCUCACCUAGGCGACGAUCCCUAGCUGGUCUGAGAGGAUGACCAGCCACACUGGAACUGAGACACGGUCCAGACUCCUACGGGAGGCAGCAGUGGGGAAUAUUGCACAAUGGGCGCAAGCCUGAUGCAGCCAUGCCGCGUGUGUGAAGAAGGCCUUCGGGUUGUAAAGCACUUUCAGCGGGGAGGAAGGCGGUGAGGUUAAUAACCUUGUCGAUUGACGUUACCCGCAGAAGAAGCACCGGCUAACUCCGUGCCAGCAGCCGCGGUAAUACGGAGGGUGCAAGCGUUAAUCGGAAUUACUGGGCGUAAAGCGCACGCAGGCGGUCUGUCAAGUCGGAUGUGAAAUCCCCGGGCUCAACCUGGGAACUGCAUUCGAAACUGGCAGGCUAGAGUCUUGUAGAGGGGGGUAGAAUUCCAGGUGUAGCGGUGAAAUGCGUAGAGAUCUGGAGGAAUACCGGUGGCGAAGGCGGCCCCCUGGACAAAGACUGACGCUCAGGUGCGAAAGCGUGGGGAGCAAACAGGAUUAGAUACCCUGGUAGUCCACGCUGUAAACGAUGUCGAUUUGGAGGUUGUGCCCUUGAGGCGUGGCUUCCGGAGCUAACGCGUUAAAUCGACCGCCUGGGGAGUACGGCCGCAAGGUUAAAACUCAAAUGAAUUGACGGGGGCCCGCACAAGCGGUGGAGCAUGUGGUUUAAUUCGAUGCAACGCGAAGAACCUUACCUGGUCUUGACAUCCACAGAACUUAGCAGAGAUGGUUUGGUGCCUUCGGGAACUGUGAGACAGGUGCUGCAUGGCUGUCGUCAGCUCGUGUUGUGAAAUGUUGGGUUAAGUCCCGCAACGAGCGCAACCCUUAUCCUUUGUUGCCAGCGGUUAGGCCGGGAACUCAAAGGAGACUGCCAGUGAUAAACUGGAGGAAGGUGGGGAUGACGUCAAGUCAUCAUGGCCCUUACGACCAGGGCUACACACGUGCUACAAUGGCAUAUACAAAGAGAAGCGACCUCGCGAGAGCAAGCGGACCUCAUAAAGUAUGUCGUAGUCCGGAUUGGAGUCUGCAACUCGACUCCAUGAAGUCGGAAUCGCUAGUAAUCGUAGAUCAGAAUGCUACGGUGAAUACGUUCCCGGGCCUUGUACACACCGCCCGUCACACCAUGGGAGUGGGUUGCAAAAGAAGUAGGUAGCUUAACCUUCGGGAGGGCGCUACCACUUUGGAUUAACA